GGGACCAUAGCUCAGUUGGGGGAGCGCCUGUCUUACAAGCAGGGGGUCCCAGGUUCAAGCCCUUUUGGUCCCACCA
Molecule: transfer RNA, 76 nt
Filed under: Clostridioides difficile
Lineage: Bacteria; Bacillati; Bacillota; Clostridia; Peptostreptococcales; Peptostreptococcaceae
Description: tRNA-Val
Rfam family: tRNA
About the family: Transfer RNA (tRNA) molecules are approximately 80 nucleotides in length. Their secondary structure includes four short double-helical elements and three loops (D, anti-codon, and T loops).
Source: RNAcentral